RNAcentral lists this ribosomal RNA (407 nucleotides) under uncultured bacterium. RNAcentral describes it as "partial 16S ribosomal RNA". It matches the Rfam family "Bacterial small subunit ribosomal RNA", at positions 30 to 527 of the family's 1533-position model. The record is from RNAcentral.
AUUGAACGCUGGCGGCAGGCCUAACACAUGCAAGUCGAGCGGAGCGGCGGACGGGUGAGUAAUGCCUAGGAAUCUGCCUGGUCGUGGGGGAUAACGUCCGGCAACGGGCGCUAAUACCGCAUCCUAUCAGAUGAGCCUAGGUUGGAUUAGCUAGUUGGUGGGGUAAAGGCCUACCAAGGCGACGAUCCGUAACUGGUCUGAGAGGAUGAUCAGUCACACUGGAACUGAGACACGGUCCAGACUCCUAAGGGAGGCAGCAGUGGGGAAUAUUGGACAAGGGGGGAAAGCCUGAUCCAGCCAUGCCGCGUGUGUGAAGAAGGUCUUCGGAUUGUAAAGCACUUUAAGUUGGGAGGCGGUACCAAAAGAAUAAGCACCGGCUAACUUCGUGCCAGCCGCCGCGGUAAUUG